RNAcentral lists this ribosomal RNA (451 nucleotides) under uncultured bacterium. RNAcentral's name for it is "bacterial SSU rRNA". It matches the Rfam family "Bacterial small subunit ribosomal RNA", at positions 28 to 487 of the family's 1533-position model. The record is from RNAcentral.
GAUGAACGCUGGCGGCGUGCUUAACACAUGCAAGUCGAACGGGAUCCCAGGAGCUUGCUCCUGGGUGAGAGUGGCGAACGGGUGAGUAAUGCGUGACCGACCUGCCCCAUACACCGGAAUAGCUCCUGGAAACGGGUGGUAAUGCCGGAUGCUCCAGUUGACCGCAUGGUCCUCUGGGAAAGCUUUUGCGGUAUGGGAUGGGGUCGCGUCCUAUCAGCUUGAUGGCGGGGUAACGGCCCACCAUGGCUUCGACGGGUAGCCGGCCUGAGAGGGCGACCGGCCACAUUGGGACUGAGAUACGGCCCAGACUCCUACGGGAGGCAGCAGUGGGGAAUAUUGCACAAUGGGCGCAAGCCUGAUGCAGCGACGCCGCGUGCGGGAUGACGGCCUUCGGGUUGUAAACCGCUUUUGACUGGGAGCAAGCCCUUCGGGGUGAGUGUACCUUUCGAAU